CCUGUAGCACAAUGGAUAGUGCGUUGGGGUUUUAAUCCAAAGGUCGUGGGUUUGAAACUCACCUAGUGGU
Non-coding RNA from Trichonephila clavata, 70 nucleotides. The record is from the annotation of a GenBank genome assembly. NCBI's taxonomy places the organism in Eukaryota, Metazoa, Arthropoda, Arachnida, Araneae, Nephilidae.